UUCCGAUAGAUUUUACUAGGGAAAGUUCAAAGUCAUUGACUACUUAUCCCGAUGCAGUCUUCUUCAAUUUUUUCUUUGAAAAAACAUAUCAGAUGUUAUCGUUUGGAAUAAAGGCCAACAUAUUUCAUUCAUGUGGGGGAUUGUUGGAAAAAAUGGUUAAUGGGUCAACUUUGAGCCCAAAUUUCAGUGGGACCCACCUUUUAAUUAAUUCGGGACCUAGCAUAUUCACGUUCUACUCCGCGAGA
This 245-nucleotide long non-coding RNA is filed under the name Olea europaea (common olive). Its description in RNAcentral is "long non-coding RNA (OEUR_LNC014711)". The record is from RNAcentral. Lineage: Eukaryota; Viridiplantae; Streptophyta; Magnoliopsida; Lamiales; Oleaceae.